RNAcentral lists this ribosomal RNA (466 nucleotides) under uncultured Aquiluna sp. RNAcentral describes it as "bacterial SSU rRNA". It matches the Rfam family "Bacterial small subunit ribosomal RNA", at positions 28 to 505 of the family's 1533-position model. The record is from RNAcentral. Lineage: Bacteria; Bacillati; Actinomycetota; Actinomycetes; Micrococcales; Microbacteriaceae.
GACGAACGCUGGCGGCGUGCUUAACACAUGCAAGUCGAACGAUGAAGCUGGAGCUUGCUCCGGUGGAUUAGUGGCGAACGGGUGAGUAACACGUGAGAAAUCUGCCCCUGACUCUGGGAUAACUGCGGGAAACUGUAGCUAAUACCGGAUACUUUCCCUGGUGGGCAUCCACUGGGGAAGAAAGAAUUUCGGUCAGGGAGGAUCUCGCGGCCUAUCAGCUAGUUGGUGAGGUAACGGCUCACCAAGGCGACGACGGGUAACCGGCCUGAGAGGGUGACCGGUCACACUGGGACUGAGACACGGCCCAGACUCCUACGGGAGGCAGCAGUGGGGAAUAUUGCACAAUGGGCGCAAGCCUGAUGCAGCAACGCCGCGUGAGGGAUGAAGGCCUUCGGGUUGUAAACCUCUUUUAGCAGGGAAGAAGCGAAAGUGACGGUACCUGCAGAAAAAGCACCGGCUAACUACG